This 152-nucleotide small nuclear RNA is filed under the name Arabidopsis thaliana (thale cress). Its description in RNAcentral is "U4 spliceosomal RNA". It matches the Rfam family "U4 spliceosomal RNA". From Rfam's summary of the family: U4 small nuclear RNA (U4 snRNA) is a component of the major U2-dependent spliceosome. The structure of U4 snRNA from yeast and human has been reported. RNAcentral also lists the same sequence under 1 other name. The record is from RNAcentral. Lineage: Eukaryota; Viridiplantae; Streptophyta; Magnoliopsida; Brassicales; Brassicaceae.
AUUUUUGCGCUUGGGGCAAUGACGCAGCUAAUGAGGUACUAACCGAGGCGCGUCUAUUGCUGGUUGAAAACUAUUUCCAAACCCCCUCAUGGGCCUGGGCUUGACCUAUGGCCUUUGAGAAUUUCUGGAAGGGCUCCCUUCGGGGUAAAGCC